RNAcentral lists this unclassified non-coding RNA (242 nucleotides) under uncultured fungus. RNAcentral describes it as "partial contains 5.8S ribosomal RNA, internal transcribed spacer 2, and large subunit ribosomal RNA". The record is from RNAcentral. Lineage: Eukaryota; Fungi.
AACGCACAUUGCGCCCGCCAGCAUUCUGGCGGGCAUGCCUGUUCGAGCGUCACUUCCACCCUCAGGCCCGGCCUGGUGUUGGGGACCUGCGCACCGCAGCCCCCGAAAGACAACGGCGGUCCCGAUCUCAGGCCCCGAGCGUAGUACUGUACGUCGCUCCGGGUGCCUGGCGGGCGCUGGCCGUAAGCCUUUUAUUUUCUAUGGUUGACCUCGGAUCAGGUAGGAAUACCCGCUGAACUUAA